CGGCAGCGUCGCAACGGUCAAUAGGAUCAACGGUUGGAAGUGGCUCUACCGAUAUCUGCCAGCUUCCUCGACCGGUUCAUGCUAAACGACGCCGCUGUGGCCAAGUGUGGCUUCGUCGCCACCCUGACCUCGCCAACCUCAGCCGGGAAACCCUGCAUGCACUUCUGGUUCCAGUGCGGGUUCGGGCUGGCCCGAACCAGCGGGCUCAGGCAGAACGUCAGACCCGACACAUUCUUAAUCGGACCCGAACGCGUCCGCCGAGACGGCGUGGCCUGCACCGGAGUCCUCUUCCAAUCCGGCGUCGAUGAGUCCCCGCUGCCGGAGGCCGAUCGGUCGCAGUCGUCCUCGCAGCCACCGCCGCCUGCGUCGUGCGUUAAAUCCGGCGACAUUCCGCGCGCUCUUCUGUGGCGAGAUCUCACGCGGAUCGUGGACUCGUCGGAGUAGAAUUGCUUCGAUUGCUUCCCUCUUUUCCCGGCGAAGAUCGUCGAGAACCACGACGGCGACGGCGCGGACGUCGAAGUCGAGUCCCGCGACGAAACCCUAGGAUCCGUCCAGAACUUGUCGGAUCUGGACCGGAACAGACUCGUCAGGAGCGAAAACUUGGGCUUGCUCUUCUUGUACGAGCCUCCGAUAGUGGCGGCUCCUCCGUCGUAGGUAGGCCCCACCUGGGGAGUACUGUAGAAGCGGAUAUGAUGGCGCUGGUGGUUGUGGUCGUGGUCGUGAUCGGAGCGAUUGUGGUGGUGCAGCCAGGCGGAGUCGUCGGAUUUGCGGCGGGAAACGUAGGGGGAGACGGAGCGGGGGAAGAUGAGCGGCGGGGGGUUGGGGUCGGACUUGAGGGGUUCUUCGGGAGCGACGCCGUUGCUGCGGGAGUGGUGGCGGGAGAGCUGAGCCUGGAGUUGUAAUUGGGCCUGGGCUCGGGUCUGGGCCUCGAUGAUGGCGGUCAGUCGUUCCCGGAGACAAGAGGCGCAGACGCCGACGGCGCUUGUGAGGUCGGCGGCG
RNAcentral lists this long non-coding RNA (999 nucleotides) under Rosa chinensis. Its description in RNAcentral is "sRNA RchiOBHm_Chr1g0343941". Lineage: Eukaryota; Viridiplantae; Streptophyta; Magnoliopsida; Rosales; Rosaceae. The record is from RNAcentral.